Long non-coding RNA from Juglans microcarpa x Juglans regia, 1011 nucleotides. RefSeq lists it as uncharacterized. The record is from RefSeq and is a predicted model, not a curated record. NCBI's taxonomy places the organism in Eukaryota, Viridiplantae, Streptophyta, Magnoliopsida, Fagales, Juglandaceae. The transcript is spliced from 2 exons.
GUUACAGAACUUCUUGGGACAAUCCCGAGCAAUAUGACCAAAAGUUUUACAACAAAAGCACUGCACAACACACAUGUCUUUACCCUUAUUCCUCCCCUGUGUUGCAUAAGCCACAGUAACAGGUGCACUAGCAGGAGCCUGAUGUGCCAAGAAAGUGUGAGUGAGUAGAAGCUGCUCCUCACGAAGAAUUUCACUAAAACAAGCAUCCAAAGAUGGAAUAGGAUCAUGAUUAAUCAGAUUAGAACGUGUAAUGUCAAAGUCAGGUCGUAGCUUCAUCAAGAAUUGAUCUCUCUUGCUGGUUGCAUGCACUGCUUGAACAGCAGUGAGAGCUUCAACGGAAACACUAGUAUAAACAAUAUUAAAAUAGUCAGCCCAAACGUUUUGAAAACUAGAAUAAUAUUCCUCAAUGGAAAGACUUCCUUAUGUGAAAUUAGUCAUCUCAUAUUCCAAUUGAAAUCGCCUAGCGGAGUGAUCUUGAUUGUAAACCGUGUUGAGAUAAUUCCACAUGUCAGCAACAGUUUUAUAAGGCCGCAGGUUAAGAACAAGCCGAGGCUCAACAGAGCCAAGGAUCCAGGUCAUGACUCUAGCAUCCUUGAUUUCCCACUUUGACAAAGUCUUGACAUCGCGAAGUGCGGGAUCACUCCCAUCAAUAUGACCUCACAAUUCUUUCCUUUUGACAAAUAAUUGAAAUUGAAAUGCCUAAGCAGAAUAAUUUUUGCUAGUAAAUUGAAUAUGAAACGAUUCUAACUUAUCAGAUGACAUGAUGCAACCCAGAGAAGAAAUAUAUAUAGUGCUGAGAACACCCAACCAGAAAAGACAAACAAAGUUGUCGAAAAAGUGACCCACGUAAGAAAUAGAAAAAAAAAAAUUGGCACCGACAAAAGGCCAUAAACAGCAAUAGAGGCCAGAAACCUCUCCUUAGCAACACGACAGAGUACACCGAAGUGCAGAACACGACCAGAAAUACCAAAAACAACAACAGAUGGCGCCGAUACCCACAACCCCAGAAAC